GCCUCGGUAGCUCAGUGGGGAGCCUUUUCCGGACGUUGACACAUGUCACAAAAGCCUCCAGGGAAAAGUUCGCUGAUUAGAGCGUUCGCUUGGUAAGCGAAAGGUCGCGAGUUCAAUAAGCUUUCGCAUUCGAAUGCGUCAGCGUGGAAACCUCGCCCGAGGCU
RNAcentral lists this transfer RNA (164 nucleotides) under Candidatus Aenigmatarchaeota archaeon. RNAcentral describes it as "tRNA-Thr". The record is from RNAcentral. Lineage: Archaea; Nanobdellati; Candidatus Aenigmatarchaeota.